This 216-nucleotide ribosomal RNA is filed under the name Glomeromycotina sp. RNAcentral's name for it is "partial small subunit ribosomal RNA". The stretch from base 40 to 216 matches the Rfam family "Eukaryotic small subunit ribosomal RNA", at positions 686 to 864 of the family's 1831-position model. The record is from RNAcentral. Lineage: Eukaryota; Fungi; Glomeromycota.
GGGUCAGUAGGUUGGUCGUGCCACCGGUACGUACUGGUCUCACUGAUUCCUCCUUCCUGAAGAACCGUAAUGCCAUUAAUUUGGUAUUGCGGGGAGACAGGACUGUUACUUUGAAAAAAUUAGAGUGUUUAAAGCAAGCUAACGCUUGAAUACAUUAGCAUGGAAUAAUGAAAUAGGACGAUCGAUCCUAUUUUGUUGGUUUCUAGGAUUGACGUA